Molecule: long non-coding RNA, 716 nt
Organism: Synchiropus splendidus (mandarinfish)
Lineage: Eukaryota; Metazoa; Chordata; Actinopteri; Syngnathiformes; Callionymidae
Exons: 3
Source: RefSeq, a predicted model, not a curated record
CUGAUCUCCACUGUGUGAACCAGGAGAACACAAGGCAGCUGCAUGGAGCUAUUGCCUCAGUCAUGCUACUGAACCACAGUCAGUGAGCGGAGGAGGAAUUGGUGGAUAGUUUUUAAGGUGAAGGAGGAGCUGGGUCGUGAAGUGGCUGAACUUCCUGGAGCCUCAAAGAACAUUUGUGAUGAGCUGAGGAGGGAAUAAAUGCUGCAUGAUUGAUGAGGGAGAGACGGAUGUGGGAAGAGGAGCGAGUGGACGAGUGGACUGUGAGAACCAGAGGGACGACGUCAGGAGAUGAAUCAAACUGAAACGACGUGGAGAAAUGGAAUAGUCUGCUCUGGAUAAUGAAAACAAAGGAAGUGAAUCAGCGUUUCAGACAGAACAAGAUCCAGUGGGUCUGAAAGAGAGCUCUCACACCAAGCAAGUGUUUCUUCACACGGUCCAGGCAGCAGCCAUUCCCAGCACCAAACACGUCUGGACCCAUGGGAGCAGCGCUUCCCUCCAAAGUUUGGGACGAUGAGGCUUUUGCCCAACUCCCACCAUCGUCAGGUCGCCAACACACGUGACGUCACCCACUCGACACCUGGCCGACAGCUGUCGUGAAACCAGCCGAGCCCAGAUAAAUAGAUUCUAAUUCAUCUCAAAAUGCUUCUUUAUGAAAUAAAGAUGAAAACGAAGGACAAUUUCACUAUAGUUUUACUUCGGUUUGACAAGCUCCGUAA